This 253-nucleotide ribosomal RNA is filed under the name uncultured bacterium. RNAcentral's name for it is "partial 16S ribosomal RNA". It matches the Rfam family "Bacterial small subunit ribosomal RNA", at positions 524 to 776 of the family's 1533-position model. The record is from RNAcentral.
UACGUAGGGGGCAAGCGUUGUUCGGAAUCACUGGGCGUAAAGGGUGCGUAGGCCGCACGGUAAGUCAGAGGUGAAAUCCCGGAGCUCAACUUCGGAAUUGCCUCCGAUACUGCCGUGCUUGAGGACUGGAGAGGAGAUUGGAAUUCACAGUGGAGCAGUGAAAUGCGUAGAUAUUGUGAGGAACACUAGUGGCGAAGGCGAAUCUCUGGACAGUUCCUGACGCUGAGGCACGAAGGCCAGGGGAGCAAACGGG